This is a long non-coding RNA of Hyla sarda, 631 nucleotides long. RefSeq lists it as uncharacterized. Lineage: Eukaryota; Metazoa; Chordata; Amphibia; Anura; Hylidae. The record is from RefSeq and is a predicted model, not a curated record. The transcript has 2 exons.
UAUUUGCGAGCAACACUAGUGAUGAAUCUCCCCCAUUGAGCCUGCCAGAGCCGCAGUGAUCUGUGUAAGAAACCUAUGGGCCCAGGCUGUUAGGGUCACCAAAUGAUAUUACAAAUACUGAGUGUCUGGUUAGGAGAAACAAAUAUAAUGUACCCACAGGGAGUGAGCCAUUUUUAUAAAAAAUUGCCAAAAAUCCCUGAAAUAAGUCAUGCAGAAUAUGUUAAAAAGCUUUUUGGAUUUUCAGCCAAUCAGAAAGCAGCACUACUCAAAUAGAACUCCCGUGAGGUCACACAUGUGAUGUCAUAACCUUUGUCAUCAGUGAGGGGCCUAAACUGUAGGAACCUAGGAAUGCAAAUUCAUACCCGCCUGUGACUGAUGCACACCUUCCAGGCUGUGGGGCAGCACAUACACGGACACAUUGGCCCAAAUUCUAGAGGUAACCUCCUUUAGUAUGCCCAGAGGAAGGGCAGUACAGUAGCCAUGGAUUCCCUACAGGUUUCCUCCCCUCUGGAGGUUUUUCCUGUCCUGAGUUAGUUACUGUCCGCUCUUUGUGAGUGAUGGAGGUUACAUAAAAUCCCUACACAAACAUUUUACUAAAUAAUAAAUAAAGUUCCCCUUUGUUUAAACUGUU